ACGAGAUUUGUUAAUGAAAAGAGCAUUUUCAGAGGUGUUGGCAGGAUUGAGGGAACCACCAGAGCGGCUGAGGCAUCAAGGGACCUGUGACCACCCCCAGGCCGAAGGAGUGUGGGAAGGCGGUGGUUACCAGAGCCAGGGCCAGGGCCUCAGGGUCACCUGGUGGGGUCUGUGCUCCUACAGCCUGGUGAAGAAGAACGAGUGUCCCUCCCUUCUGCUCUCCUCCAUCUGACGUCCUGCUGCGCCCUCCGAUCAGAAGGAAGCCCCUGCUGGAAGCCAGAGGGUGAGGGAGUCAGCUGAGCAGAGUCACCUAGCAGGCUCGUAGACCGGCUUCCUCGACCUGGACACGCUGCACCUGCUUCGCCAGUUUCCGGCAGGCCGAGCCAGGGCGCCCCCGCCUUCCACCACCACGGCAUACCCCGCGGACGUGGUGCAGACCUAAUCCAAGUUCUCCUCGUUUCCGGGAAACCCCAGCGGCUCCCUCCUCAGAACACACCCCGGAUCUGCCCACUCGACCCCUGCAUCACGCAGCGGACUCCCACCGGCUUCCCUGCCGCGUCGCCACCAUCUGUGCUCCACGCCACAGCUAAGGGGAGCCUGACCGCACUCGCGGGCCACGUGGGCCCUCCGCCCACAGCCCCGCGCUGCUUCGCUGGGCCCGCACAAGCAAAAGCGUGACGGUCUGCUCCGGGCCCUCCACCUUCUGCCUGCCCUGCUUUUCACGUAGCGCUUAGCACCUCUCCACUGACCGCUGUAAUUCCUUGUCCUCCUUUUGCUUUUGUUCUGUCUUCCCACACUCGGGCACCAAUUCCGUGAAGGCCCGGGUUGGUCUGUUUUGCUCACUGACAUACGAUGAGGAGGAGGAGGGAGCCGGGCCUGGCCCAGGCCUGGCCCAUGGGAGGUGCUUAGUAAAUAUUUGCUAAGUGAAUGAAUGCACGGAAUGCAUUUCUAUUUCCAGCCCCAGCCAGGCCCCUGGAAACCCAGAAACACAGGCAGAUCUGCAAAGAAGAAAGCCCUCACUUUCGGGGUUUGGGAAGGGUUUCUGUUUGAGGCGCUGGCUAAGGCACUGGUUUUUCCCUCCGUGAAUCUCCCCGCACCUCCUGCACGCCUCCUGCCUGUGGGCUUCACAGGCCGCUGAUCUGACAGGCUGGGUUAGGGGAAGGGGGCUUUGGGUGGGGGCAGAGCGCUGAGGCCCCAGGCUGUCCCCGCAGCUGUUCCAUUUGCAAAUGCCUGGAAUUCUGGAACGGUUCCCACCCAGCCGAGCCAGGGCCAGCUGAGGCCUGACCGCCUUUAAGCUGGCCGCUGGGCGGGCCCUUCUGCCACAACCUUCCCUGUCUGUCCUCGCCCUGGAGCCCAGAGGCCAACCUCGUGGGCGUGGCGGGCCCCAGUGUGCCCCCUCCCAGCGCCCCCUGGGGAGAGGCAGCUCAGCCUGGGCCCCCUCACUGUCACACGCCCGAUGGCUCAGGCCACUCCACGAGUCCCAAGGCAGAUUUUCCAUUAGCAUCAAACGCACGCGGGUCCUGACCUGCAGCUGAUGCGAGUGGAAGGGAGAAGCAUUUAGGUAACUCGUGUACGGGGUGGCGGGCGGGGAGUCUCCAGGCCAGACCCCCGAAGGGCACUGCACCCCAGCAUCAGGGUCGGGGACGGCGCUUUGAGGGUAGACCCUGGUGCACACCCCUCUGCUUCCGUCCAUCUGUUUCACGCUCAGACAUGGACCCUCCUCAAGGGUGAGCGCUACAGCCUAGGGGGUACAAGGUAGGGGGAUUCAAUGAUCUGCCAGGCUGCAAGAGCCCACUGGAUGCCUCUACACCCCAAACAUUCGUGGAGCACCUACUGCCUAGCACUGUGAGCUCUGUGGAGCACAUGCACCCAUAUGGCGCACUUGCUAUGGGCCUGAGAAAGUAGGAGGCGCUCAUGGGUGAGGUGUCAGGCCCCGAAAUGCAAAUCUUCUAGGGGUGACAGCAUCAACAAUUCACGUGCUGUCAGGUGCUGGUGGCUUUCACCUUCCCAGACACAAUGUCCUCUUCAUCUAGUAACAAAAUCCCUCUUUGCUUUCCUUCAGUGAAACCUCCUCGCCCCCUUACCCUCACGAUGGCUUCUGUUAUUGGUGGGACAGCCUCCCUGUCCCCAGAGUGGUCACGGAAGCUGGCUGGAGUCCCGCGACCCGAGGCCAGCCAACGAGAGAGCGAGAGAACGGUGCUCCCCCACCCACAGGAAUCAGCUCAGCAACGGCCAUGUGACCCAAGCCCGCACAAUCCAAACCCUGCCCAGGAUUUUUCUGGAAGGGUGAAGGCAGAACGACCCUGAUCCUCCAAGCUGGGAGUUCUGGGGACCCCCUAGGCCUCGAGCUCCCAGGCCAUCAUCUUUGCCGGGAGCAAAGCCAACAUCAGUGAAAUUAAGUUUAGAGUCUGAGUUAAGGUGGUACCCAGUGUGGCUUUCCAGCUCCUGGAUGCGGCUGUGCCUGAAGGUAGCUGCAUCCUACACUUGCUAGUUAAGUCAACCAGCAAACUCUCUUCUUUUCUGAAAUGAGCUUGGCUUGGGGUCCCAUCACUUGCAACUGAAAGGAAUCCUCAGUGCCACUGAGCAAUGUUAAUUCUCAAUGUAUUGAAACGGCGUUCUGUAGACGGUUACGGGGAGCAAACCAAUGAGAAGGUACUGGUAAGAUAAAGCCUUCCUGGCUCUGAAAAGUCGGGGGGGGAUCUCAGGUUUGGGCAGAUACACGUGUGGACCCCCCUCACCCCUGCGCUGUUUCCGAAACUGCCCAUCUAGGCUGGUCCAGCUGAGCUGUUUCCUAAAGAAUCUUUGCAAGCAACUAGAAUGGACCCUUAUCAAAGAAUUAAUUCCCGGAACUAAGAACAGCAUAAAAUAUUUCCAAACCAUGAGUUCCUCCUCCUAAGAAUUCCCACGAACAUGGUGAAAACCUGGGCAGGUCUGUGAGCCCCUCCAGUGGGGGGUCUGCUCAUCUAGACGCGCACCCCCACCUGUCUCCCUCCCCCUCACCGCCCCCCCCAGCCACGUGUCUCUGGGGACAUCUGGGAUGGAGCUAGCCACAGGGGAGCAGAUGGUACCCGUGUGGGCAAACGGCGCAGGGGCCGCUCAGGGCCCUCCUGACCAGGGGCCGGCUGGGGGGGCCCGGCCUGCUGACAGGAGGUGGAGCUACCAGGUGUCGGCGCCUGCGGGAACCCAGAGCAGGGCAGCGGAUUCUGCGGUGUUCUACGACUCCCCUUGGCAGCCCACCUCCGCCGGGCCCUCACAGGAGCCACAGAGCAUGAGGCAGCAUCCAGCGAACAGAGAAGAGGCUUUCCUCUCUCCAGCCCCUCCACAGACAGUGGUCAGCUGGGCCGGGCAGGGGACUGACACCGGAUUGGUCCGUCCUAAUUCUGCAACCCUCUGUGGACAGAUGGCCCCGCGCGGCUGGGCAACAGCGCCUGCCCUCGGCCUGGGGCUGACCGAGGUGUCAGAGGCAGUGGCUGCGAGCGCGGGUGCGUGAUAGAGCCAGGGCUCCGGCCCGGGGGCGAGCGGCCGUCCGGUGGCAAUGGUGUGCUGGUCCCUUGAUGAGCAGAAGGCGGGGCGUCAGAGGCGGCCCCAGGGCAGACGCAGAGGGAUGCACAGAUGGAGAGAGGACACAGUGCAUCGGCGGGGGGAGGGUGGAGAGCAAGGUGAGGUGGUGGACACAGGGCGAGUCCCGCUUUGAACUGCUGGGUCUGGGGUGACGGGCCCCCCCCGCGGAGGGAAUGUCCCACCACACCAGCGGAGAGGUGCCUGAGUUCGGGAGGGGCCAGGGCUGGCCCAUGGGCCUGGUGUGCGGGCCGCCCCCACCAGCCACGUGCUCUGAGCCGCUUCUGCAAUGUUUAUGGAAAUGUAAUUUUCCGGGAGAUGCAUGUGUAAUUGAGAAUCUUUUAAUGUCUGUUUCCAGUCGCUGUUCUCGCUUGAGUGAUUACAAGCAUGGAGGGAGCCGAUUGUGCCCAGGGCGGUAUCCACGGGUGCGGGGCCCUGGGGACCUGUUUCCACCACCCCUGUGCCACUUCAUCUGGAGUAGGCCUCGGGGUCCAGAGCAGAAAGUGACCUCACACAUGAGCCCGUCUCUGUCAUGUGCCACGUUCUGGAAGCUUAACCCACGCACCUCCCUCUCUGGACGCCAGAGCCUGAGCCCCACGCAUUGGCGGGGCUGUGCUCCCCAGAAGGUUCCAGGGCGGGUCCUGCCUGCCUGUCCCGGCUGCGGCUGGUUACCCGGACUCCUCCGUGUUCCAUGGCUUGUGUCGCGUCACCCCAGGCUCUGUCACAUGGCCUCCUCCGUGCGUGUCUGCGGGUCCUCCACUCACAAAGACACCAGCCGUUGGGGUGCACAUGAACUUUGGGGGAACCCUAUUCAACCCAGUCCACCGUCCCACGAUCCUGCACGACAGUUGAGGAACCUGAUCUAAAGGGUGAGGUUUUCCAGGCCGGCUGGGAUGGGGCUUGGACCACAGCCUGUCUCCCCCCGCACCCUGCCCCUCCAAUGCCCAGCUUCCUUAGACGCUCCGGGCCUCCCAUAUGCUUGCCACUGAGCGUGCAAAACUCUCGGGCCCUGCUUCCAGCCGGCCAGGGUCCCCCGUCCAGGGCCCAUCCUCCCUCUCCCUCCAGUUUACAGAUACACUGUGAAGUGGAUAAACUGGGAUGCAGUAUGUGGUGUGUGCUGGCUCUUGUCUAAUAAAGGGUAAAAGUAUGAA
Molecule: long non-coding RNA, 4709 nt
Organism: Zalophus californianus (California sea lion)
Lineage: Eukaryota; Metazoa; Chordata; Mammalia; Carnivora; Otariidae
Exons: 3
Source: RefSeq, a predicted model, not a curated record